Molecule: ribosomal RNA, 497 nt
Filed under: uncultured bacterium
Lineage: Bacteria
Description: partial 16S ribosomal RNA
Rfam family: Bacterial small subunit ribosomal RNA
Source: RNAcentral
GAUGAACGCUGGCGGCGUGCCUAAUACAUGCAAGUCGAGCGAACAGACGAGGAGCUUGCUCCUCUGACGUUAGCGGCGGACGGGUGAGUAACACGUGGAUAACCUACCUAUAAGACUGGGAUAACUUCGGGAAACCGGAGCUAAUACCGGAUAAUAUAUUGAACCGCAUGGUUCAAUAGUGAAAGACGGUUUUGCUGUCACUUAUAGAUGGAUCCGCGCCGCAUUAGCUAGUUGGUAAGGUAACGGCUUACCAAGGCAACGAUGCGUAGCCGACCUGAGAGGGUGAUCGGCCACACUGGAACUGAGACACGGUCCAGACUCCUACGGGAGGCAGCAGUAGGGAAUCUUCCGCAAUGGGCGAAAGCCUGACGGAGCAACGCCGCGUGAGUGAUGAAGGUCUUCGGAUCGUAAAACUCUGUUAUUAGGGAAGAACAAAUGUGUAAGUAACUAUGCGCGCCUUGACGGUACCUAAUCAGAAAGCCACGGCUAACUACGUG